Molecule: ribosomal RNA, 442 nt
Filed under: uncultured bacterium
Lineage: Bacteria
Description: bacterial SSU rRNA
Rfam family: Bacterial small subunit ribosomal RNA
Source: RNAcentral
UGGCUCAGAACGAACGCUGGCGGCAGGGCCUAACACAUGCAAGUCGAGCGAGGACUUCGGUCCUAGCGGCGGACGGGUGAGUAACGCGUGGGAACGUGCCCUUUGGUACGGAAUAGCCCCGGGAAACUGGGAGUAAUACCGUAUGGUGUCUUCGGACUAAAGAUUUAUCGCCAAAGGAUCGGCCCGCGUUGGAUUAGGUAGUUAGUGGGGUAAUGGCCUACCAAGCCGACGAUCCAUAGCUGGUUUGAGAGGAUGAUCAGCCACACUGGGACUGAGACACGGCCCAGACUCCUACGGGAGGCAGCAGUGGGGAAUCUUAGACAAUGGGGGCAACCCUGAUCUAGCCAUGCCGCGUGAGUGAUGAAGGCCCUAGGGUUGUAAAGCUCUUUCAGCUGGGAAGAUAAUGACGGUACCAGCAGAAGAAGCCCCGGCUAACUCCGUG